AUGCUGGCUGUUUUUGGUGGGAUUCAAGGGGCUCUCCCAUGUAAAUAUUUGGGAUUGCCUCUAGGUGUCAGGAAACCCAGGAGGGCCGAGGUGCAGCCGGUUCUGGACAAGAUGGCGGGAAAGCUAUCGCCUAGGAAGGGUAGAUUGCUAAACAGGAUGGGAAGACUGGUUUACAUCAACUCGGUGGUCACCAGCACGGCCAUUUACUUCUUAACAGCCUUCCAACCGGAUAAAUGGUUCAUUAGAAAGGUGGACAAACUCAGGAGAAAUUUCCUAUGGGAAAUUGAAGAAAGAGCGGCUGGAGGCAAGUGUCUUGUAAACUGGAAGCGGGCCUGCUCCCCCAAGAUUGUUGGUGGGUUAGGUAUCAAGAACAUCGAGUGUUUCAGCCGGGCCUUUCGCUUGAGAUGGGAAUGGCUCAGAUGGGAUGACGUCGAUCGGCCGUGGAAAGGAUCUCCUACUCCGUGCGACGCCAUUGAUAGACAGUUGUUCUCGAGCUGCUCCUCUAUUCAGUUGGGUGAUGGGCAGCUUGCGCUGUUCUGGAUGGAUAGAUGGAUGCAUGGGGAGGCCCCUUAUGUGAUUGCACCGGAGAUCUUCAAGCUGGCGCGUUUUAAAAGAAUUACUGUCAAAGAGGCUUUGACAAACGGCCGGUGGAUGCAAGGUCUACAAAGAAUGAACAACGAGGAGCAGCUAGCACAAUUUGUCAGAAUUUGGGAGGAGGUUCAGCAGGUGAGCCUUUCGGAGGCAAAGGAUGUGAUCAGGUGGUCACUCACGGCAAACGGCUCCUACUCUGCAUGCUCUGCCUAUGCCAUCCAGUUUGCGGCCGGGAUCGAGCAGCUGGAUCUUGAGAGAAUAUGGAGAUGCAAGAUGGAGGGGAAGGUCAAAUUCUACCUUUGGUUACUCCUGCAGAACAGAAAUUGGACGGCGGAUAAAUUAUUAGCGCGGAAUUGGCCACAUAAUGAUCGAUGCAAGUUGUGUGAUCAAGAGGCUGAAUCUGCAAUGCAUUUGACGCUGGGGUGUUCUUUUGCAAAGGAAAUAUGGUUCCACUUCCAGGGAUCUAACAGUAGGAUGUGGCGUAUUGCGUCUUCGGCUAGCUCGAUUACAGAUUGGUGGAGAAGACUAUGCUCCGGACGCGGUCCGAAGAACAAGGUACAGGAGGAUAUCACGUUGGCGGCCUACAUCGCCUGGCACCUGUGGAAGGAACGCAACAGGAGGAUCUUUCAGCAAAAGGAAUUAACUGUGUUCAUGUUGGCUGAUUUAAUCAGCGAUGAUGUAAAAUUAUACGUUGGGGCAACUGGUCAGGGUCAGGUUAUUGCAUAA
RNAcentral lists this ribosomal RNA (1317 nucleotides) under Triticum aestivum (bread wheat). RNAcentral's name for it is "partial small subunit ribosomal RNA". Lineage: Eukaryota; Viridiplantae; Streptophyta; Magnoliopsida; Poales; Poaceae. The record is from RNAcentral.